RNAcentral lists this ribosomal RNA (477 nucleotides) under uncultured bacterium. Its description in RNAcentral is "bacterial SSU rRNA". It matches the Rfam family "Bacterial small subunit ribosomal RNA", at positions 30 to 518 of the family's 1533-position model. The record is from RNAcentral.
CGAACGCUGGUGGCGUGUCUUAUACAUGCAAGUCGAGCGAGGCAGCAAUGCCGAGCGGCGAACGGGUGAGUAACGCGUAAGCAAUCUGCCCCAUAUCAGGAAAUACCCGUGCCAACGCGCGGUUAAUGUCCAGGAGAGUGGGCUCCUUGCAUGAGGAGUUGACUAGAGAUUUAUCGGUAUGGGAUGAGCUUGCGUCCGAUUAGCUAGUUGGCGGGGCAACGGCCCACCAAGGCGACGAUCGGUAGCCGGCCUGAGAGGGUGAUCGGCCACAUUGGGACUGAGAUACGGCCCAGACUCCUACGGGAGGCAGCAGUAGGGAAUAUUGCACAAUGGGGGAAACCCUGAUGCAGCAACGCCACGUGUGGGAAGAAGCAUUUCGGUGUGUAAACCACUGUCAUGAGGGAAUAAGGCCCUUAUUCGUAAGGGAUUGAAUGUACCUUGAGAGGAAGCACCGGCAAACUUCGUGCCAGCAGCGGC